RNAcentral lists this ribosomal RNA (253 nucleotides) under uncultured bacterium. RNAcentral describes it as "partial 16S ribosomal RNA". It matches the Rfam family "Bacterial small subunit ribosomal RNA", at positions 524 to 776 of the family's 1533-position model. The record is from RNAcentral.
UACGAAGGGAGCUAGCGUUGUCCGGAAUCAUUGGGCGUAAAGAGCGUGUAGGCGGCCCGGUAAGUCUGGUGUGAAAUCUUGGGGCUCAACCCCAAGCUGUCACUGGAUACUGUCGGGCUUGAGUCCGGAAGAGGAGAGUGGAAUUCCUGGUGUAGCGGUGGAAUGCGCAGAUAUCAGGAGGAACACCUAUGGCGAAGGCAGCUCUCUGGUACGUGACUGACGCUGAGACGCGAAAGCGUGGGUAGCAAACAGG